Molecule: non-coding RNA, 201 nt
Organism: Arachis ipaensis
Lineage: Eukaryota; Viridiplantae; Streptophyta; Magnoliopsida; Fabales; Fabaceae
Source: RefSeq, a predicted model, not a curated record
UUCAGGAAUCUGAACUGGAGAAUGUUCGAACUCAAAUUCAGUCUCAAACCCUCCAAAUUGAGUAGUUCGCCACAUGGUGGUCUUUCGAGUAGUCCUCCUGUGGGCUCCAUGCCAAAAUCUUUCCCACCUUUUCAGCAUCCAAGUAACCAACUUUUAGAAGAAAACGGUUUCCAACAGCAGAAGUACGUGAAAUAUCAUAAA